RNAcentral lists this ribosomal RNA (362 nucleotides) under uncultured cyanobacterium. RNAcentral's name for it is "bacterial SSU rRNA". It matches the Rfam family "Bacterial small subunit ribosomal RNA", at positions 376 to 752 of the family's 1533-position model. The record is from RNAcentral. Lineage: Bacteria; Bacillati; Cyanobacteriota.
CGAAAGCCUGACGGAGCAAUACCGCGUGAGGGAGGAAGGCUCUUGGGUUGUAAACCUCUUUUCUCAGGGAAGAACAGAAUGACGGUACCUGAGGAAUAAGCAUCGGCUAACUCCGUGCCAGCAGCCGCGGUAAUACGGAGGAUGCAAGCGUUAUCCGGAAUGAUUGGGCGUAAAGGGUCCGCAGGUGGCAUUGUAAGUCUGCUGUUAAAGAGUUUGGCUCAACCAAAUAAGAGCAGUGGAAACUACAAAGCUAGAGUGUGGUCGGGGCAGAGGGAAUUCCUGGUGUAGCGGUGAAAUGCGUAGAUAUCAGGAAGAACACCAGUGGCGAAGGCGCUCUGCUAGGCCGAGACUGACACUGAGGG